Molecule: RNA transcript, 945 nt
Organism: Ictalurus furcatus (blue catfish)
Lineage: Eukaryota; Metazoa; Chordata; Actinopteri; Siluriformes; Ictaluridae
Gene: ndufa11
Gene name: NADH:ubiquinone oxidoreductase subunit A11
Exons: 3
Source: RefSeq, a predicted model, not a curated record
UAAAAUACUUUUCUCUUCAGGGCUGGUUGGCUCGGCGUAUCAUCUUGUGUUAAUCCAGCCUGAAACUUCACUUGAAGCAUUGACAAGGGCAGCGAAUGGCACGGUCACGAUGGCUUCUCUGGGGGCGAUAUUUGGAGUCACCACGUGUCUGAGUGCACAUGUUAGGGACGCUCCUGAUGAUCCCACCAACUACUUCCUCGGAGGAUGUGCAUCAGGAGCCUUUCUUGGGCUCGAAGUGAGUGUAUCAAAGAACUUUUUCAAAUAUGUCAAAUAGCUCGCAGCGUUGUAACGGGCACAACCACUUGUCUAGGGCUGGGGAUCGUUGCCAUGCUCACUAAAGUUGGGAAGAAGGAGGGCUGGAGGUUAUCUGGUGAACCCAGACUGUAAAACCUUAACUACUGUUGUGUUCAUAUUGUAUAUUGCUUAAAUAAAUCUUUAUGGAUGGGGGAAAAGUGUGUUGAAUGGUGUUUUCAUGCUUGAGUGCUGUUUAAUAAUGUUAAAUAAUGAGACUUUUGAGACAUUUCUUUGCGUGUUAUUCACCCUUAUAUUUGUGGCUAAUCUGAGAGCGAGCGAGCGAUCGAUCGAGUGAUAUCAACAGGGAUUACACACACACCAGAAAGGUAACUGCUGAUUUAGACUUAAUUGCUGUAAUAUUGUAUAGUUUUAUAAUGAUGUAUUGUUUUAACCCAGAAAAGAGGGUACACAUUUUAACAUUGUUAAAAAUAUUACAGCGGUUUUCGUUGGGUUUUUAAAAAUAAAAUGAAAAACACUUACAGCAUUUGGCAGACACCCUAAUCCAGAGCAACAGACACAUAUCUCAUUUAUACAACUGAGCAGUUGAUGGUUAAGGGGCUUGCUCAUGGGCCCAAGAGUGGCCACUUGAACUCACAACCUUCUGACUUCUUUGGGACUUGAACUCAUAACUUCUGGUCAGAAGUUCAAUGC